Molecule: ribosomal RNA, 225 nt
Filed under: uncultured bacterium
Lineage: Bacteria
Description: partial 16S ribosomal RNA
Rfam family: Bacterial small subunit ribosomal RNA
Source: RNAcentral
CGCGUAGGUAACCUGCCUGGUAGCGGGGGAUAACUAUUGGAAACGAUAGCUAAUACCGCAUAACAGUAGAUGUUGCAUGACAUUUGCUUAAAAGGUGCAAUUGCAUCACUACCAGAUGGACCUGCGUUGUAUUAGCUAGUUGGUGGGGUAACGGCCCACCAAGGCGACGAUACAUAGCCGACCUGAGAGGGUGAUCGGCCACACUGGGACUGAGACACGGCCCAG